CCUGCCGCUGCCCGCUUCCUCCUCCCCUACGGCUGCGGCCUGGCGGGCAUGGUCGCCCAGUCGCCGCCUCUUCCAUGCGGCCUGGUGCAAUCGAGCACUCCAAUCACUAAUCCAAGCAGGUGGACCUCACCCAACCCUUCCUCCAAUGGCGUUUUGCCGUGACUUGCAGUGCAGGAUCAAGGAUGACGGGGUUCAUAGAUCUCCCGGCCGCGGGUGGGUUCAGCUUCGACCUGUGCCGCCGGAGCAAUGUGCUCGGGUCGAAUGGGCUCAACCUCCCGGGAUUCAGGAAGACUAGGACAACCACGUGUUGGCUUCCAUAAACCUGGGGGAAAAGGCAGUCAGGCACAAGGGCAACUGAGGGGCCUAUAGCUGCUGAUAAGAACUGCGAGAAGAUUCACUUUAUGGCGCCAAACAAAUAUUGCUGUGGGAGCAGGAACUGCUGCUGACACGGUUACAGACAUGGUUAGCUCCCAGCACAGCUGCACCGUUAUGCGCUACAGCUGCACCGUUAUGCAACAGGCCGUGAAUUAAGAGUUGUAGCUGCUCUUACACUGCUGAAAUCACACUCUUCAGGUAUCAAGGGCGUGUCAGUGCUGCCCUUGUUCUUGGUGCAGUGGAGUGUACUGGACCACAUCUUCACACUGUUUAUUCACAUGGAUCCACUGAUACUCUUCCUUUUGCCACAAUGGGUUCUGGAUCUCUUGCUGCAAUGUUUAUCUUUGAAUCGAGUCAAUGGUCAUGGCAGCAUGAUAGGCUGGCGCUCCUCCUUCCGUUCUUCACCAAGCUCCAAGCACCAGCUCGGGUAAGUUUAGCUGAGGCAUUAUUAUGGGUAAGUAACACAAGAAGUUCAGUGUUGAGGUUGCACCUGCUGCUCUCUUGGUUCCAGAGGGUAAAUCUGUAAAGAACGGGAAGAGAAAUGCAGAAGAUGAAAUUGAGAAGGUUGUGAGUGCCAAGAAACAAAAGCUACCUGAAAAGGUCGUGCCGGUUAAGAAGCAGCCCCCUCCAAAGAAAGUAGAGAGCAGCAGCUCUGAGGAGGAUUCUUCAGAUUCUGAAGUGGAGGUGCUAUCACGUUCUUCUCUUUUGGCUCAUGUUUGACCCUUAGUUAUAAACUUAUAAUCAUAAGCUAUAUGCUUGAACUGACUGCUUUGCUUUACUAUGUCCAAGGUAACAAAUAACGGUAACCAGGUCUGUAGCAGAUUGAUGUCUACAUCGUGGAUUACGUAUAGCGGACUUAAGUUCCAAUAAUAUUAUCUAAUAAUCUCAUAUAAUUUAGAUAUAUGUAUAUCUUAAAUAAUGACUUUUUUAAACAUUAGCAAAUUAACUAAGUACAAAUUAAUAAUAGACUAAUAAACAUAUAACUUAAAUAAUAUAGAUAUUUAAUUGUAUUUGGAGAGUUGAUUCUCGAUCAAAUAUAUCUUAAAUUAAGAAUGAACUAGUUAUGUUCUAGACUUGGGCUGCUAUAGCGGAUUGCUACGUCAAAUAAUGGCCGCUAUAGCGGCUUGCUGUGUCAAAUUGCGGGCGCUAAGUUCCAACCCACCAUGUUGUAGCGGUAGUGGUAAGGGGCCGCUAUUGCGGCUGCUACAAACGCUAUUUAGUACCUUGACUAUGUCAAAAACUCAUAAUUGAUUGUACGGUAGUGUUUUCAUUGUUACAUAUUCUGUGUGCUAUUGAUUGAUUUUAUUUAGUUUCUCUGAUACUCUUAGGCUUGAGAGCUAGCUGUGUGCUAUCUAUUUGGUGUUGCAAUUCCUUUAUUGAAUAUGUGAGAAAAGUUUAUAAUAUGUUUAAAGUAACCAAUUGCAUAAAAAUGUAUGUCAUCAAGGAAAAGGCAACAAAAAAAUUCCUUAUCAUUCUUUGGUAUCUGGAUAUGAUCAUCUAAAUACCUAGAACUGAGAUUUAACAUCAAUUAUUUGUUAGAUGUUUGUAUUAUUGUUUCACAUGCUGUUAAUACCUUGGUUGUCAAUUACAACAGUGUUUGAAAAGCAACAUGGUUUUGCACCUUUUGCUUUUCUCCUUGAUAUAUAUUAACAAAGAAAAAAUUUACUUGUUUAAUGACAUCAGUUUGCAGUUCCUCUUGUGCUUAAGAGGAAGCUAGUGUAUGAAUGAAACUUUGGCUUUUCAUUUGAUUUCUGUUAGAAACUUCUUACUAGAAAAAAGACAUGUUUGCAGGCUAAGGUCCAGCCCAAGAAGGUUAUUCAACCAAAGAAAGGUACACAACCUGCUAAACAGGAGUCCAGUGAUGACAGUAGCUCUGAGAGCUCCUCAGAUGAUGCAAGCAUUAUCCACUUGCUUUUGGGGCUUUCUUUUUACUAAGAUCAUACAUACUUAUUUUUUUCCUUAAAUUAAGAACCUUCCAAAAAACCAGUUGCCGGUAAAUAAGCCACCUGCCAGUAGUCGCAGCAGUGAUGACAGCAGUGGCAGUGAUGAUAGCAGUUCUGAUGAGGAACCUGCAAAAAAGCCCACUGUCCUUUCAAAGAAGCCUGUCACAGCAGUUAGUAAUGGUUCGAAACAGGUUAAGUCCGAUAGCAGCAGCUCCGACAGUAGCUCAGAUGAGGAUGAAAAACCUGCUGCUAACCCAAAGAAGCCUGUUGCCUCUGUGCAAAAGAAGACCCAAGAAUCUGAUAGCUGUGACAGUGAUUCUGAUGAAGAUAAAUCAGAAGAUUUAAUUUAUUUGUGGAUUCAUAUGUUGCACUUGUUUCUUAAUUCAUGCAUCUUUGGUAGUUGUUCUUUGUCAAAUAUAGUUUGUCAGUAAUAUUCUUUAUUCAUGCAUCUUCGAUAGCUGUUCUUCGUCAAACAUAAUUUGUCAGUAAUAAUCCUGACACAAACAAUAUCUGUAGGAUAUUCGUGCUAAAGCUCCAGUAGUAGCGAAGAAAAAGGAAGAAUCCAGCGUAAUCCACACAUUUUUUAAUAGAGAUAGCAGAGAGCAAACUCUAAAUCAUAUUUGGUAUGGCCAGUGGUGAAGCUACAUACACAUUAGGGGGUGCAAAUGUAUCUCUAAAAUUAUAAAAACAGUGAUUAGGUCUAAAAUUUCACUAUAUAUGCACCUUCUAUAAAAGAUGUCUAUACAACCACAAGCUAAAUGCAUCCCCUCUAAUUUGCUCUAGC
This is a long non-coding RNA of Sorghum bicolor (sorghum), 3102 nucleotides long. RefSeq lists it as uncharacterized. The record is from RefSeq and is a predicted model, not a curated record. NCBI's taxonomy places the organism in Eukaryota, Viridiplantae, Streptophyta, Magnoliopsida, Poales, Poaceae. The transcript is spliced from 9 exons.